ACUGAUCAUGACUGAAGAAUUUGAAAAUGAAAAAGAACUACAAACUAGAGACUGGUCCUAAAUAAAUACCUAAAUCAAAUUCCUGAAGAAAUGAAACAAAAAAAUUAAAUAUUAUGUCCUUGCUUCCUCCCCGUAGGGUGAUGAACAAGCUUGCUGUAGCCGGUAAAAUUCUCUCAGCUUAGCGUAAGACAUAUCUUUAACCAAGUCGUCACAUUUAUUAUCGAUGAUUGACAAAGCUACACAGCAGUCAGCUGCAUUUAUUUUGGCUAUACCACUUUCUGAUGGAAUGAAUUGUUUUUCAUAAGGAG
This 308-nucleotide long non-coding RNA is filed under the name Olea europaea subsp. europaea. The record is from RNAcentral. Lineage: Eukaryota; Viridiplantae; Streptophyta; Magnoliopsida; Lamiales; Oleaceae.